UUAUUGGAGAGUUUGAUCCUGGCUCAGGACGAACGCUGGCGGCGUGCCUAAUACAUGCAAGUCGAGCGAGUCUCUUCGGAGGCUAGCGGCGGACGGGUGAGUAACACGUAGGCAACCUGCCUCUCAGACUGGGAUAACAUAGGGAAACUUAUGCUAAUACCGGAUAGGUUUUUGGAUCGCAUGAUCCGAAAAGAAAAGGCGGCUUCGG
Molecule: ribosomal RNA, 208 nt
Filed under: Brevibacillus formosus
Lineage: Bacteria; Bacillati; Bacillota; Bacilli; Caryophanales; Paenibacillaceae
Description: partial 16S ribosomal RNA
Rfam family: Bacterial small subunit ribosomal RNA
Source: RNAcentral